Molecule: long non-coding RNA, 357 nt
Organism: Prunus dulcis (almond)
Lineage: Eukaryota; Viridiplantae; Streptophyta; Magnoliopsida; Rosales; Rosaceae
Exons: 2
Source: RefSeq, a predicted model, not a curated record
AAAAAAAAAAGGAUGGUGUUUUGGAAGAACGCGCAUCCUUUUCGCUCCUCAAGAAAAACCCUUUUGCGCUACCCGCUUCACUCCUCCAGGAAUUCUUUUAAGCUCUAAUUGAUUGCAAAUUUGGAAAUAUCAAGUUUGUUGCUGUGGAGGGGGAUUUCUCAAAUUCCAAGUUAUGUUGUUCUUUGUGUUAUUGAGGAUGCAAAGACAUUUUUUAUUUUGCUGAUUGCUGAGGAUGCAAAGGGAUUUCAACUAGAUUGAUGUUGUUUUGCUUUGGCUAUUGAGCAUGCAUAUAAAUUUUUGAUUUGUUGGUUCCUUGUUGCUGGAUGAAAAAGAACUUACUGAAUUGUUACAAGUAUU